Molecule: ribosomal RNA, 462 nt
Filed under: uncultured bacterium
Lineage: Bacteria
Description: bacterial SSU rRNA
Rfam family: Bacterial small subunit ribosomal RNA
Source: RNAcentral
GACGAACGCUGGCGGCGUGCCUAACACAUGCAAGUCGAACGUGAAGCCGGUGCUUGCACCGGUGGAAAGUGGCGAACGGGUGAGUAACACGUGAGAAACCUGCCCCGGAGACCGGGACAACCAUUGGAAACGAUGGCUAAUACCGGAUGCCCUCAGCUGGCCGCAUGGCCUACUGAGGAAAUGCUCUGGCGCUCUGGGAGGGUCUCGCGGCCUAUCAGCUAGUUGGUGGGUAACGGCCUACCAAGGCAUCGACGGGUAGCUGGUCUGAGAGGACGAUCAGCCACACUGGGACUGAGACACGGCCCAGACUUCUACGGAAGGCAGCAGUGGGGAAUAUUGCGCAAUGGGCGAAAGCCUGACGCAGCAACGCCGCGUGAGGGAUGACAGCUUUCGGGUUGUAAACCUCUUUCAGUGAUGACGAAAAUGACGGUAAUCACAGAAGAAGGUCCGGCCAACUACGUG